Molecule: long non-coding RNA, 105 nt
Organism: Mauremys reevesii (Reeves's turtle)
Lineage: Eukaryota; Metazoa; Chordata; Testudines; Geoemydidae
Exons: 5
Source: RefSeq, a predicted model, not a curated record
CUUGGGAGACAAGACAAUAAAGGAACCCAAGGAGAAAAUGGAGGAACUCCAGAAGCAUAUGGAGGAAGCCAUGGAGAAAAUGGAUGAUCUCCAGAAGCAAAUGGG